UACGUAGGGUGCAAGCGUUAUCCGGAAUUAUUGGGCGUAAAGAGCUCGUAGGCGGUUUGUCGCGUCUGCUGUGAAAACCCGAGGCUCAACCUCGGGCCUGCAGUGGGUACGGGCAGACUAGAGUGCGGUAGGGGAGAUUGGAAUUCCUGGUGUAGCGGUGAAAUGCGCAGAUAUCAGGAGGAACACCGGUGGCGAAGGCGGGUCUCUGGGCCGAUACUGACGCUGAGGAGCGAAAGCGUGGGGAGCGAACAGG
Molecule: ribosomal RNA, 253 nt
Filed under: uncultured bacterium
Lineage: Bacteria
Description: partial 16S ribosomal RNA
Rfam family: Bacterial small subunit ribosomal RNA
Source: RNAcentral